This is a long non-coding RNA of Rattus rattus (black rat), 444 nucleotides long. RefSeq lists it as uncharacterized. The record is from RefSeq and is a predicted model, not a curated record. Lineage: Eukaryota; Metazoa; Chordata; Mammalia; Rodentia; Muridae. The transcript is spliced from 3 exons.
CAUCUUGGGAAAAGGAAUAACAAUUGAAAUGGAAGCAAGAAAUACUCAAGUUAAUAAAGAUGGAGGAAAAAAAUAUGUCUUACUUGGUGAAGCACUUCCCAUCUAAGACUGAGGACCUGACUUAGAUCCACACAGCCCAUGAAGGUGGAACAGAAGAGCCAAUUCCAGGAAAUUUUCCUGUGACCUCCACAGAGUUUCCAGUGGCUUGCAAUUCAUACUCUGCCAUGAGACGAUCAGUGCACAACCAUCCAAGCAUUUACAGGUUUUUCAUCCAAACAGGACUUCCAGUGGAAAGAUGAGAAUGUCAACCCACCCAUAAAACCUUCAACCCCAAAAUUUUCCUUCCUAUAAGAUGUGCAGGCAUAAAGAUGAGGAGAGACUGAGGGAGUGGCUCACCAAUGACUGUCCCAACUUGAGGCCCAUCCCAUGUGACAGACACUUUUA